AGAAGGCUCGCUGGUUUGCAGC
RNAcentral lists this unclassified non-coding RNA (22 nucleotides) under Chlamydomonas reinhardtii. RNAcentral's name for it is "small RNA Cre_0413". The record is from RNAcentral. Lineage: Eukaryota; Viridiplantae; Chlorophyta; Chlorophyceae; Chlamydomonadales; Chlamydomonadaceae.